GAGCUACAAUAAAUUUUGUUUAACACACUUAGUAAACACUUUGCUUUAACUAUGUAACAUUCAAAAGUCAAGCACUACAGCAAAGAAACUCAAUUUUAAUCUGGCAAAAUGUUUUCGGACGUAACCGUCCCUCCUCAGUACCAUUUACAUCAGAAACACAAUUAUUAUAGAAUAAAUUUCAAAUUAUUCUAAACCAUUAGAAGAAUUACAGUUCGUUUAAAUUUCAAAAAUUUCCAGUAUAGACUUCAUCUAAAAAGAAAAGUAUAUUGGAUACACAAGCGAAAUCUAGAAGACAGAGUGAAUGAAUAGCAAGAAAAAUAUAGAAAAGGAUAUAACUAGUAGUGCACUUGAUGUUAGAACAUUUGAAUACAAUGUAGAUGCUAAAUGGAAUGAAGUGAAAGUGGUGAAAUGCAUCAGGUGCAGAAACAAAGGGACUAUUGCAGAGUCAACUGAGAUAAUAAAACAUGUAAAAAUUGUUAUAUUGUCAAUAAUAAUGACCCAAGUUCUCUUUCUUACUCAGGGAAGUGAUCAGUAAAUAAUUUAUAAAAUAGGCUAAGCAAAGCUUCGUUGAGUUUUAGUUUCUCCAUAAUGCUUAUCAUGAUAAUGUCUGAUAGGAAUUAUAGUUUAAUGUUUAUUUUUUUUUAAUCUACCCC
This 653-nucleotide long non-coding RNA is filed under the name Androctonus crassicauda. The record is from RNAcentral. Lineage: Eukaryota; Metazoa; Arthropoda; Arachnida; Scorpiones; Buthidae.